AUGGUGAAUGUUCCCAAACACCCAUCAGACUUUCUAUAAAAAGUGUGGCAAGCACCAACUCCACAAAGUGACACAGUACAAGAAGGGCAAGGAUUCUCUGUAUGCCCAGAGAAAGCAGCAUGAUGACAGGAAGCAGAGUGGCUAUGGUAGGCAGACUAAGUCAAUUUUCUGGAAAAAGACUAAAACGAUCAAGAUUGUGCUGAGGCCUUGAGUGCAUUGAACCCAGCUGCAGAUCUAAGAGAACGCUGGCAACUAAGAGAAGCAAGCCCUUGAACUGGCUUGAGAUAUGAAGAGAAACGGCCAAGCAAUCCAGUUAUCA
RNAcentral lists this long non-coding RNA (319 nucleotides) under Homo sapiens (human). RNAcentral's name for it is "non-protein coding lnc-SHROOM3-1:1". The record is from RNAcentral. Lineage: Eukaryota; Metazoa; Chordata; Mammalia; Primates; Hominidae.